AAGGAUCAUUAAUGAACACAUAAGAGGCUUUCUAUUUAGAAUCCUCAGCAAUUCAUUUUCACACUGUGCACUAUACUAUUUUACACCCAUUUUAAACCCAUUACAAGUUAUAAGAAUGUCAACAGUCUCUUUAUUGAGCAUAAACAAAACAAAACUUUCGACAACGGAUCUCUUGGCUCCCACAUCGAUGAAGAACGCAGCGAAAUGCGAUACGUAAUGUGAAUUGCAGAAUUCAGUAAAUCAUCGAAUCUUUGAACGCACCUUGCACUCUUUGGUAUUCCGAAGAGUAUGUCUGUUUGAGUGUCGUGAAUCUCUCAACCCCCCUGUUUUGUAAUGAGACAGGCGUGGGCUUGGAUUAUGGCUGUCUGUCGGACCUCUUAACUGAGCCGGCUCAGCUGAAAUAUACGAGCGACCCAAUGUUUACAUUAUAAAUGUGUUAACGGUUUGACUCGGCGUAAUAAUACUAUUCGCUGAGGACGUUUUCAUUAUAAGACAUUCAUUGACGCUUCUAAUGCGACUUUAAUUAGUCAUUCAUAACUCUAGACCUCAAAUCAGAUAGGACUACCCGCUGAACUUAAGCAUAUCAAUAAGUGGAGGAAAAGAAACUAACAAGGAUUCCCCUAGUAACGGCGAGUGAAGUGGGAAAAGCUCAACUUUGAAAUCUGGCAGCUUUGCUGUCCGAGUUGUAGUCUCGAGAAGCGUUUUCCGCGCUGAAGCAUGCAUGAGUCUGUUGGAAUACAGCGUCAUAGAGGGUGAGAACCCCGUUCGUGGCAUGCCUUUCAGUGCUUUGUGAUACGUUUUCGAUGAGUCGAGUCGUUUGGGAAUGCAGCUCUAAUUGGGUGGUAAAUUCCAUCUAAAGCUAAAUAUUGGUGGGAGACCGAUAGCAAACAAGUACCGUGAGGGAAAGAUGAAAAGCACUUUGGAAAGAGAGUUAAAAGUACGUGAAAUUGUCGAAAGGGAAACGAUUGAAGUCGGACGUGCAGGGUAACUUGCAGGCCAACAUCGGUUUCAUUAGCUGGAUAAAGGUUAGAGGAAGGUGGCAGCUCCGGCUGUGUUAUAGCCUCUAACUGAAUACAGAUAGCGAGACCGAGGACCGCAGCGCAAG
This 1105-nucleotide ribosomal RNA is filed under the name uncultured Erythrobasidiales. RNAcentral's name for it is "eukaryotic LSU rRNA". The stretch from base 542 to 1105 matches the Rfam family "Eukaryotic large subunit ribosomal RNA", at positions 1 to 604 of the family's 3401-position model. The record is from RNAcentral. Lineage: Eukaryota; Fungi; Basidiomycota; Cystobasidiomycetes; Erythrobasidiales.